RNAcentral lists this transfer RNA (69 nucleotides) under Ictidomys tridecemlineatus (thirteen-lined ground squirrel). Its description in RNAcentral is "Spermophilus tridecemlineatus (thirteen-lined ground squirrel) tRNA". It matches the Rfam family "tRNA". From Rfam's summary of the family: Transfer RNA (tRNA) molecules are approximately 80 nucleotides in length. The record is from Rfam by way of RNAcentral. Lineage: Eukaryota; Metazoa; Chordata; Mammalia; Rodentia; Sciuridae.
GGGAGUGUGGCUCAGUGGUAGAGCACAUGCCUAGCAUGUAUGAGGCACUGGGUUCAAUCCUCAGCACCA